CUUGAUCAUUUAAAAUAUAAAACAAACAUUUGUUUUCACAUAUUAUAUUGGAUUAUGCAGGCCGCCUUAAAAUCAUAAAAUACAUAUGUAUGUACUUAUUUAUUUUUGCGUAUAAUAUUGGACAGUCCAAUUUCAAACAACACACACUUUUUUCACAUACUUAACAAUUGACAUCAGCUGCUUUUUCCAAUUCAUUCUGAUUUCCAAUGCCAUAAAAACAAAUGAAAUAAUUAUUUGCAAAUUAUUAAAAAAAAAUCACAUAAAAUCCACUUACUUACCUUCUUGUUAUACGAGCCUCUUUUACGAUGGUACGAUCACGAAUGACAUGCGUCUUUCAAUCGUUUUUUUUUUUACCCUUUUUGGAAUUUUGACAAUUAUGUUUUCUCCUUCGCACUCAUUCAAAUAAAUCAAAAAAUUAAAGAAACUUUUAUUAUCGCCGAGGUUGGCAGGGUAUGUCCCUACAAAAACUGCAAACAUACUUCUACAAAAGCAACAAUCGUCUCAAAUAGCCUCAGUAGCGUUUAAAGUCAAUGUGGCAGCCAAAUAGUCGAUGCCCAAAUUUGUAGGAAAACACAUAACAUUUUCAUUCAUGACCGCAAUCGCACUUUCAACAGGCAAUCUCGCUUCAUUCAUAAAAGCAGACACCAUCACAUUUCCCCGAAUAUGCCAUUGCCGACAAGCGUCUUUUCGCGACGAUAGCAAAAGCUAAAAAUUGUAAAUUGAACAAUUUCUGAUGAUUCUUCUAGAAGGAAAAAGUGUCAACGGCGCAAACCCGCAAAGCACAGAAAUAAGUGACAAAAAUGUCAACAUAGUUCUUGUCGAUUUAAAAUAUUUUUCCUCGGCUCCCAAAAAUCUGCGUCGAUAUGUAUGCAAGCUUAUACAGAAACUUACAUAUUUACGGUGGCUUGUAAGUGAAGCUGUUACGGCAUGAAGGGAAGCGGUGAUAAUCGGCGGUCGUUCCUUUGUUUUUUCAGCACAGUUCAGAUUUUCUAUCAACAACACAAUGUUGUGACGCUUUGUCGUCGCGUCAGCUAUUCGACACAUUGACUCUUUGGCAAAGUGUGAGCUUCGGCCAUUGGUUGUCCGUGAUAACGGAGAUGCGAAAAGAUGCGUGCGGCACUUGUUACCAGUGCUGCCAAUUUGGAUUUUUUCCCGUCAAAACUGGCUUUUUUCGAAGGCUAACUGCGGGAAAAAUUUGAGAAUUGUGGGAAUUGGGAAAAGCGGGAAUUCUGGCUUUUUUAGAAAUUCAGUUGGCUUUUUCUGACUUUUUUUUGUGUUAUUAACACUUAAAUACAAAAAAUAUGCCGCGAUGUGUGGCUUAAAAGUGAUGAAUUCAAGGCAUGGAUUCGCAGGGAUAAUACAGACCAGCAGAGGGUUUACUGCAACUAUUGCAAGAGCACUAUUACAGCGAAACUGAGUAAUCUGCGAGCUCACGCUGAAAUAAAGAAGCACACAAGUGCCAUGAGUGGCUUUACCCAGGCGAACAAACUCAACUUUGCAAGAGCAUCUGAAAAUUAUAAUGUGCAAAUUAAGAAAGCAUCACUGUGCCUUUUUAUUGCACAGCAUACAGCAAUGGCGCAAAUUGACCACUUGGGGAGCCUAUGCAAAAAACGGUUCGACGAGGCGAAUAUAAAUCUGCACCGGACCAAAUGCACAAACAUUUUAAAAAAUGUAUUAGGACCACACUUUUCUGAAGACUUACGCGAAGAUAUCGGAGAAUCAAAAUUCAGCCUCCUCCUCGACGAGUCCACUAACAUAAGCGUUACAAAACUUCUAGGUAUGUAUUAUUGACAUAAUUUUUAAUAACAAUUACUUUUAUUGAAUUAAAUAUUUAUUAAAUUUAUUUUGUGAAUGUAUAUAUAUUUAUGUAUAUUAUUUAUGUAUUCGUCUCUACAUUUUUAAAAAUUGUAGUUUUAGAAAGUGGAAAUGCUGAAGCCAUUGUAAAUAGCGUCAAAAAUGUAUUGUCGUCCUAUAAAUUAGAUAUUAAGAAUCUCACUGGUAUUGGGACAGACAAUGCCAAUGUCAUGACAGGCAAAAACCAUAGUGUUUUCACAGAACUAAAAAAGGAAACUCCAACCCUAAUUUUAAUAAGAUGUGCGUGCCAUUCUGUACAGCUGACUAUUAGCCAAGUAUGUAAACAUCACCUCCCAGAGAAUUUGGAAUUCUUAAUCUAUGAAUCGUUUAACUGGUUUGCUAAAAGUUCAUGCCGUCAAAUAGAAUGUCAAAAAAUUUAUAAAUGUUUAAACGAUGAUAAGGUAAUAGGUUGUCAAAAAAGUCUUGCGAUAUUUUUUAUUGAAUUUUCAAUUGUUCAUAAAAUUGGUUACAAUAAUGCGAUUCAAGUAUCAAAUAUGCGCCGUUUUGUUCGAUGAUGGAAGACAAUUCGGCCUCUAUUGAUCAAAGAUGGCCUCUUCUGCGUGAGUGCUGCCUUCAAGCGGUCCAGUUGUUGGCAGUACAGGUCCGAAUUGAGCGUUUGGCCAUAGGGGAGCAGCUCAUAGUGAAUUAUUCCCUGCCAAUUCCACCAAACACACAGAAGAACCUUCCUGGCCGUCAAUCCAGGCCGUCUGGGCCGCUUCACCGCUUUUCGACCACGACCGUUUGCGCCUUACGUUAUCGUAACUGACCCACUAUUCAUCGCCAGUCACCAUACGUUUCAAAUUCAAAAGCGAUUCGCAUGCGUCGAUACGGUCAAAGAUGUUUUUUUGCGUCAAUUCGUGUGGCACCCAUACAUCGAGCUUCUUAGUAACUCCAAGCUUCUUCAAAGCUUCUUUAUAACGGUUUGAUAACUCAUGCCCAGCUCUUGACCGAUGCUACGGCUGCUACUAUGCCGGUCUCUUUCGAACAAUUCAGUGAUUUUAUCGCAAUUUUCGACGACAGGCCUUCCGGAGCGUGGCGCAUCUUCGACCACCUCUACACCAGAACGAAAACGUUGAAACCAUCGUUGUGCAGUGGAAAUGGAAACUGUAUCGCGUCCAUAAACUGUAUAAAUUUUAUUGGCGGCUUGAGAUGCAUUUUUGCUUUUAUCGUAGUAGUACUGUAAAAUAUGCCAUAUUUUCUCUUUAUUUUGCUCCAUGUUUGCGACGCUAUAGCUCACGAACGACUUAAGCCUCGUCGAGACCAACAGGUCUGGCCAGGCAUAUUUUGUUUUUAAAUGUUAUUUAAAUAUAUUUAGAGUGUAACAAACGACUUGCGCUUCCAGGUAGCUUCCUAGAAUUUUAUUGUCUAUAGAAUUCAGAAAAAAAAAAUUCAAGGAUAUCGUAUCGAAAAGGACGAAAAAAGGAUGUUAUAAUAUUACACCUUAGUCGAGACCAAUGGUGCUUGGCUAGACCCCAUAUGUUUUGUAUGAAAAUAUAUGAACUUUGGAAUGUUUCUAUCACUUCGCACGGUUAAUUUAUCUGUUUUCAUGUUCAUUACAUGUCCAAAUUGGUUUGUAUGUUUAUCUAGGUCAAAUACUUUAGCCGCUAGAGCGUUUUAAAGGUUAAGAAAAAAUGUAUUUUUUCUCAAAAUGUUACAUUUUUUGUGAACGCUUUUGCUACGCCAAGUGUGAACAAAGCGGUAAAUUUGAUUUCAAUCAAAUUGAGAGGUAAGAAAUUUCAAAAAUCUAUCUAUAUUGUACAUAUAUGAGCGUAAAUACAACACGUAUUUCCAUACAAAUGUAUGUAAACACAUAGGGGCCUAGCCAAGCACCAUUGGUCUCGACUAAGUGUAUCAGACCGUUGGUCUCGACGAGGGUUAAAAGAAACGACAAUCAAUCAAACACAUGUUAGCGCGUGAAAUGAGUUUUCCAAAAACCACUUUGACCCGAUGCGACGAAUAAAACUAGAACUACGCGCUUUCAGCGCCAACUAGCGAAAAUACCGCAAGACUUUUUUGACAACCUUAUAUUUCAAACUGUUGUUAAGACAUUUGAAUUUGUUUCUUAACAUUUAUGUAUUGUUUUUUAAGUGUCCGUGAGUAUUCCGCUUACUAACUUUAUUAUGCCAAUUAUGUACUAUUUGUUAUGUGUGAAUUGUCCUUCAUGUUGUUUCUGACAAAGUAAAUUAUUGUUUCAAUAACAUUUUUAUUGUAUAAAUUAUAAUUAUGUAACUAUUUUAAUUAUGUAAAUUUUUUCUAAAAGGUUCCUUUGAAAAUACCCAGAGUCAGUGACCCAACAUGGUUGCCAAUCGAAUUGGCGGUAUCGAGAAUAUUGGAUCAGUGGGAAGAGCUGAAAUUGCACUUUGGCUUAGCUGCAACUAAUGAAAAUGCUUUAAAGCGCAAAUGCUCCACCAGCAAUUCAGCGAUGACAUUAACUAUCUCUAUUUAAAGCCAAUUCUUUUCGACUUACAUAGGGUGAACAAGUCAUUCCAAAGUAAUAACGCCAACGCAACAGAAUUGCUUAAUGAUUUGGAGUUUGCCACAAAUUCACUAAAGAAAGGAGUUAUACUACCAGUUGAAUUAGAUAUUUUCGAAACUGACGAUAUUGAGAGGUAUGCCGAUACAACUUUGCAUAAGGGCUACGAUUUUGAAAAAAAGAAAGUCCCUGAAUAUAAAUGAAAGUAAAGAAAAACAAAUUCGGGAGCGCUGCACAUAUUUCACAAUUGAAUUGAUUAAACAAUUAAAACAGAGGCUACCAGAUAAUUUUAAAAUUCUUAAACAGAUUGAUGUUUUUUCGGUCACCAAGAUAUUGUGCGCGGUGAAGAAAGACAUCACAGAUAGUUUAGAGUUCCUGCAAUGCAAAAAUAUUUCUAAAAUUGAACGCCAAUACAACAACAUAAAUUUGAUUAAAUGGGACAACAUCAGCGACACAAACAAAUUUUGGUUUGAGGUGCUAAACUUUAAAGAUUCUGGUGGAAACCGCAGAUUUUUUGAGUUGGCAACUGAGGCCAUUCAAAUAUUGUGUUUACGCUGGUCAAACGCGGAGAUAGAAAGGGUUUUUAGACUGGUUAACCUAAUUAAAUCUAAUGUAAAAAAUUCAAUAGGCCUCACCACGACUAACAGCAUUCUAAGCAUAAGAAACGGAUUACGAAGGAUGGGAAAAUGCUGCGUCGACUAUGAAGUGCCUGUAAAAUAUCUGCAUAUAUCCAAGACGAUAUAGAUAAAUUAAUGGAAAUCUUUUAAACAAAAAUGAACUUAAUAAAUUGUUAUUUUUUUUAGA
This is a long non-coding RNA of Bactrocera dorsalis (oriental fruit fly), 5131 nucleotides long. RefSeq lists it as uncharacterized. The transcript is spliced from 4 exons. The record is from RefSeq and is a predicted model, not a curated record. NCBI's taxonomy places the organism in Eukaryota, Metazoa, Arthropoda, Insecta, Diptera, Tephritidae.